UUGGAGGGCAAGUCUGGUGCCAGCAGCCGCGGUAAUUCCAGCUCCAAUAGCGUAUAUUAAAGUUGUUGCAGUUAAAAAGCUCGUAGUUGAAUUUCGGGAUCAAGGAAUCGGUCAUGCCUUGGUAUGUACUGGUUUUAUUGGUUCUCACCUUCUAAAGAACCAUAAUGUCAUUCAUUUGAUGUUAUGGGGAAUUAGGACUGUUACCUUGAAAAAAUUAGAGUGUUUAAAGCAGGCUUACGCUUGAAUACAUUAGCAUGGAAUAAUGAAAUAGGACAUCAGAUUCUAUUUUGUUGGUUUCUAGGAUCGAUGUAAUGAUUAAUAGGGAUAGUUGGGGGCAUUAGUAUUCAAUUGCCAGAGGUGAAAUUCUUGGAUUUAUUGAAGACUAACUACUGCGAAAGCAUUUGCCAAGGAUGUUUUCAUUAAUCAAGAACGAAAGUUAGGGGAUCGAAGACGAUCAGAUACCGUCGUAGUCUUAACCAUAAACUAUGCCGACUAGGGAUCGGAUGAUGUUAAUUUUAUAAUGACUCAUUCGGCGCCUUACGGGAAAC
Molecule: ribosomal RNA, 548 nt
Filed under: uncultured Glomus
Lineage: Eukaryota; Fungi; Glomeromycota; Glomeromycetes; Glomerales; Glomeraceae
Description: SSU rRNA
Rfam family: Eukaryotic small subunit ribosomal RNA
Source: RNAcentral